This is an RNA transcript of Eptesicus fuscus (big brown bat), 3500 nucleotides long. It is a transcript of the gene named SH2B adaptor protein 3, with no coding region annotated. The record is from RefSeq and is a predicted model, not a curated record. The transcript is spliced from 9 exons. NCBI's taxonomy places the organism in Eukaryota, Metazoa, Chordata, Mammalia, Chiroptera, Vespertilionidae.
UCUUUACAUAACGGCGCGGGGCGGAAUGGGCUCGGGCCACCGCCUCCGCCCGGCCGCCCGCCUGGACUAUCGCAGCCCGCGGUGGCAACGGUGGCGGCACCAGCAAAGUUUCCCCGGCGGCGGCCCGGGGGCGCAUCCUCCCGCAACUGUCAAGCACUGGCGGCGGAAAUGAUGAGACGCUGGCCAUUUUCCGAGCCCGGGUUUCCUGCCUGAGCCCCGCUCGAGCGAGCCGCGAGCCAGGAGCCGGCGCGCGGGAGAGAACGUGCCCGGGGCGGGGGCCCGCCCGCCCCCUCGUGAUUUCGAGGGGUCGGGGGCGCGCGACGCCAUGGGCCGGCCGGGCCCGGACCCCCUCUCUCUCAGCCUGGCCACUCCACCUCCGUCACCGCCAUGAACGGGCCCACCCUGCAGCCCUCCUCCGCGCCCUCCGCCUCCUCGUCCGCACCCGCGGCCCCGCGGGGCUGGAGCGAGUUCUGCGAGCUGCACGCCGUGGCCACGGCCCGGGAGCUGGCCCGGCAGUACUGGCUCUUCGUCCGAGAGCACCCGCAGCACGCGCCGCUGCGCGCCGAGCUCGUGUCGCUGCAGUUCACCGACCUCUUCCAGCUCUACUUCUGCCGCGAGGUGCGCCAGGGCCGGGCGCCGGGGCCACCGGCUCGUGACUACCGGGAGGCGGGCCGCGGGCCCCCGGCCAAGGCCGAGGCGCCUCCAGCCGAGCCCGACCCAGGCCCCGCCGCCCCUGCCCUGCCCAAGGCCCGCAGCUCAGAGGAACUGGCCCCGCCGCGGCCGCCGGUGCCCUGCGCCCUCCAGCACCUGCGCCAUAGUCUCCGCCACAUCAUCCGCCGCCGCUCGGCUGGGGAGCUGCCUGCGGCUGGGGCCGCAGGGGAGACCCGGGCCAAGCCCAGCCUGGCCCGGAAGCUCCUGCCCUGGAGCCUGGCCCGGGAGCCGCCGCUUGAGGUCCUCAAGGAGGCCGUGCUGCGCUACAGCCUGGCCGACGAGGCCUCCAUGGACAGCGGGGCGCGCUGGCAGCGCGGGCGGCUGGCCCUGCGCGCCCGAGGCCCUGGCGGCGCGGACCGCGGGCUGGAGCUCUUCGACCCGCCCAAGAGUUCCAAGCCCAAGCUACAAGCAGCCUGCUCCAGCCUCCAGGAGGUCCGGCGAUGCACACGCCUCGAGAUGCCCGACAACCUCUACACCUUCGUGCUGAAGGUGAAGGACCGGACAGACAUCAUCUUUGAGGUGGGAGACGAGCAGCAGCUGAAUUCGUGGAUGGCUGAGCUCCGGAAGUACACAGGCCAAGGGCUGGAGAGCACAGACCCGGAGCUGCACGUUCCCUCCGCUCCGGAGCCCGGCACGGCCAGCUCUCCCAGGGGAAGCACAGAUUCCCUGAACCAAGGUGCUUCUCCUGGGGGGUUGCUGGACCCAGCCUGCCAGAAGACAGAUCACUUCCUGUCCUGCUACCCCUGGUUCCACGGCCCUAUCUCCCGAGUGAAGGCGGCUCAGCUGGUUCAGCUGCAGGGCCCUGACGCUCACGGCGUGUUCCUGGUACGGCAGAGCGAGACCCGGCGUGGGGAGUACGUGCUCACGUUCAACUUCCAAGGCAUAGCCAAGCACCUGCGUCUGUCGCUGACGGAGCGGGGCCAGUGCCGUGUGCAGCACCUUCACUUCCCCUCGGUCAUGGACAUGCUCCACCACUUCCAGCGCUCGCCCAUCCCCCUCGAGUGUGGAGCGGCCUGCGACGUCCGGCUGUCCAGCUACGUGGUGGUCGUCUCCCAGCCGCCAGGUUCCUCCAACGCUGUCCUGUUUCCCUUCUCCCUCUCUCGCUGGGAUUCCGAGCUGGGCCUUCCCCACCUUAGCUCCUCCGGCUGUCCACGGGGGCUGGGCCCGGAGGGUCUCCCAGGCCGCUCCACCCCGCAAGAGCAGAUCUUCCACCUGGUGCCUUCGCCCGAGGAACUGGCCAACAGCCUGCGACACCUGGAGUCGGAGCCUGCCAACCGUGCCCGGGACUCAGACUACGAGAUGGACUCCUCCUCCCGGAGCCACCUGCGGGCCAUAGACAAUCAGUACACGCCUCUCUGACGGGCAGUGGACUCCCAGGCCACAGGGGCCCUGAAGGAGCACAGCACGCAGACAGGAACUGGUUGUAAAGCAGAUCCGAUCCCGAUUUCCGGUCCAUUUCUAAGGACACUUACUUUCUACACACCAAGCAGGUUUCGCUAAGCAAAGCGUGAACCAGAGGAGCACACACUAUUUUGAAUGUCUCUUAAAAGAUAAAGCUCAUCACAAAGUCCAUGCUGACGAGUCACUGGUGCAGAAAAAGGGCAAAAUAGACAAUGAACCACGCAUACCCCCUCCCUCCACAUCUGGGCUAUGACCUCUUCAAGCCAGGGGCACCCACUUCUAAGCAGUCUCAGCAUAGACGUCUCAGGUAGUACGUACCAAGAGGCAGCAAACUAGUGGCUCAGCUCUGACCCACUGGCUGCCAAGUACCAGCUCAGAUUCUAAGAGAGCUGCAAGUCACCACCUCCAGGCUGCUCCAGUAUAAAUGUUCAAGGAAAACAUUUCCUUUCCAAACAUGUCCGAGUUACCAGGACACCUCAAACACACCCCACAGAAAGCCCUCCACAGCUGGGAAGGAGUGACCCAAGCCAGGCUCCUCCUUUCUGCUAGAGCAGGUGGAGCUGGAGGAGAGGGAGCAGUGGGUCCCUGGGCUGAUGCCCUCACAGUGACCCUGCUGGCUGUAGCUAGCUCACAGCAUGGCAGCACAUGCCACCCUCCUUCCAGUCCUGAUGUGACCACCGCUGGCCUCAAGAGGCCAAGCCAGCACCUCCACGGAAAGCCCGGCUGUGAGUGCCAAAGGGACAGUAAGUACCGCGACCGCUGCAGUUCUCUCCAACCAGACAACAGCCAGGGGACUGCUCAGCACCGUCACCUCCUGAAUCUGACUUUAACGAACUUUUACAAACUAACAGUCACCAGCACCAAAGAAUUAAGUCAACUAACCUGCCUUGAAUUUUAGACCAGCAAUCCAUAUGGCUUUAUCUGGUAUAAAUCUUCUGCCUCUGAUCAUUUCUGGACCGUGUAGGAAAAAGGAAUAGCAAUCAUUAAAAUCUUAGACCACAAAACACUAUUUUUAUAUAUAAAAUCAAGGCCUUGAACUCUUCCCUUCCCUAAGGGUUGCCUAAGAUUCCUCCAUUCUUUUAUUCAGGGCUGUCUCCUAUUGCAAAUGUCAUGUGAGCUCUAACAUCUCCCACAGGUUAGAGGAACUUGUAUAUUUUCCACUGCCUCUAACAAGGACACAUCUGUCACCCAGUGUUGGGCUGGAAUAAGCCACACAUUGUAACACACAGAAAAUGGGUUCAUCUUAUAUCAUUACAGGCAGAAGGUAUUUGGCAAAUUGUUAUAUAUUGUUUAUGUACUGUACAAGUAACUUAUUCUUGAAUAACACAAAUUUUGCUAUAAUGUACAAAUUGCUAUAUGUGAAUUAAAAAAUGUUUUCAGAAUAUUGA